CUACGGGUGGCACCAGUGAGGAAUUUUGCGCAAUGGGGGAAACCCUGACGCAGCAACGCCGCGUGAGUGAAGAAGGCUUUCGGGUCGUAAAGCUCUGUCGAGUGGGAAAAAAUACGUUCGGUUAAUAGCCGGACGGACUGAUGGUACCACUGGAGGAAGCACCGGCUAACUCCGUGCCAGCAGCCGCGGUAAUACGGAGGGUGCAAGCGUUGUUCGGAAUUACUGGGCGUAAAGAGCGUGUAGGCGGUUUGGUAAGUCAGAUGUGAAAGCCCUGGGCUCAACCCAGGAAGUGCAUUUGAAACUGCCAUUCUUGAGUAUGGGAGAGGAGAGUGGAAUUCCCAGUGUAGAGGUGAAAUUCGUAGAUAUUGGGAGGAACACCCGUGGCGAAGGCGACUCUCUGGACCAAUACUGACGCUGAGACGCGAAAGCGUGGGGAGCAAACAGGAUUAGAUACCCGCGUAGUC
This 464-nucleotide ribosomal RNA is filed under the name uncultured bacterium. Its description in RNAcentral is "partial 16S ribosomal RNA". It matches the Rfam family "Bacterial small subunit ribosomal RNA", at positions 339 to 795 of the family's 1533-position model. The record is from RNAcentral.